AUUGAACGCUGGCGGCAGGCCUAACACAUGCAAGUCGAGCGGAGCGGCGGACGGGUGAGUAAUGCCUAGGACUCUGCCUGGUGGUGGGGGAUAACGUCCGGAAACGGGCGCUAAUCCCGCAUACUAUCCGAUGAGCCUGGGUCGGAUUAGCUAGUUGGUGGGGUAAAGGCCUACCAAGGCGACGAUCCGGAACUGGUCUGAGAGGAUGAUCCGUCACACUGGAACGGAGACACGGGCCAGACCCAUACGGGAGGGAGGAGGGGGGAAUAGUGGACAAGGGGCGAAAGCGUGAGCCAGCCAGGCCGCGUGUGUGAAGAAGGUUUUCGGAUUGUAAAGCACUUUAAGUUGGGAGGCGUUACCAACAGAAUAAGCACCGGCUAACUUCGUGCCAGCAGCCGCGGUAAUU
Molecule: ribosomal RNA, 406 nt
Filed under: uncultured bacterium
Lineage: Bacteria
Description: partial 16S ribosomal RNA
Rfam family: Bacterial small subunit ribosomal RNA
Source: RNAcentral